RNAcentral lists this ribosomal RNA (154 nucleotides) under Actinomycetes bacterium. RNAcentral describes it as "partial 23S ribosomal RNA". It matches the Rfam family "Bacterial large subunit ribosomal RNA", at positions 2764 to 2925 of the family's 2925-position model. Lineage: Bacteria; Bacillati; Actinomycetota; Actinomycetes. The record is from RNAcentral.
AUAACCGCUGAAAGCAUCUAAGCGGGAAGCCAACCUCAAGAUGAGUUCUCUUUUUGGUAAGACCCCUUGUAGACUACGAGGUUGAUAGGACGCAGGUGUAAGUGCAGUAAUGUAUUCAGCCGAGCGUUACUAAUCGGUCGAGCUCUUUAUCUUU